Long non-coding RNA from Pecten maximus, 243 nucleotides. RefSeq lists it as uncharacterized. NCBI's taxonomy places the organism in Eukaryota, Metazoa, Mollusca, Bivalvia, Pectinida, Pectinidae. The record is from RefSeq and is a predicted model, not a curated record. The transcript is spliced from 3 exons.
GUCAGGUAUGUCAGGUAGUACUGAUGUCAGGUAUGUCAGGUAGUACUGAUGUCAUUGUACAUGGAUGUCAGGUAUGUCAGGUAGUACUGAUGUCAUUGUACAUGGAUGUCAGGUAGUACUGAUGUCAUUGUACAUGGAUGUCAGGUAUGUCAGGUAGUACUGAUGUCAUUGUACAUGGAUGUCAGGUAGUACUGAUGUCAUUGUACAUGGAUGUCAGGUAUGUCAGGUAGUACUGAUGUCAUU